UAGGGAAUCUUCGGCAAUGGACGAAAGUCUGACCGAGCAACGCCGCGUGAGUGAAGAAGGUUUUCGGAUCGUAAAACUCUGUUGUUAGAGAAGAACAAGGACGUUAGUAACUGAACGUCCCCUGACGGUAUCUAACCAGAAAGCCACGGCUAACUACGUGCCAGCAGCCGCGGUAAUACGUAGGUGGCAAGCGUUGUCCGGAUUUAUUGGGCGUAAAGCGAGCGCAGGCGGUUUCUUAAGUCUGAUGUGAAAGCCCCCGGCUCAACCGGGGAGGGUCAUUGGAAACUGGGAGACUUGAGUGCAGAAGAGGGGAGUGGAAUUCCAUGUGUAGCGGUGAAAUGCGUCGAUAGAUGGAGGAACACCAGUGGCGAAGGCGGCUGUCUAGUCUGUAACAGACGCUGAGGCUCGAAAGCGUGGGGAGCAAACAGG
Molecule: ribosomal RNA, 429 nt
Filed under: Gemmatimonadota bacterium
Lineage: Bacteria; Pseudomonadati; Gemmatimonadota
Description: Gemmatimonadetes bacterium partial 16S ribosomal RNA
Rfam family: Bacterial small subunit ribosomal RNA
Source: RNAcentral